RNAcentral lists this unclassified non-coding RNA (1778 nucleotides) under Homo sapiens (human). Its description in RNAcentral is "leukocyte immunoglobulin like receptor A1 (ENSG00000277398.5)". The record is from RNAcentral. Lineage: Eukaryota; Metazoa; Chordata; Mammalia; Primates; Hominidae.
CCACAAUCCAGUGUCAAGAAAGAAGUCAACUUUUCUUCCCCUAUUUCCCUGCAUUUCUCCUCUGUGCUCACUGCCACACGCAGCUCAACCUGAGCUACACAGCCAGAUGCGAGAUGCUUCUCUGCUGAUCUGAGUCUGCCUGCAGCAUGGACCUUGGUCUUCCCUGAAGCAUCUCCAGGGCUGGAGGGACGACUGCCAUGGGCUGAGUCUGGGCCCCCGGACCCACGUGCAGGCAGGGACCCUCCCCAAGCCCACACUCUGGGCUGAGCCAGGCUCUGUGAUCACCCAGGGGAGUCCCGUGACCCUCUGGUGUCAGGGGAUCCUGGAGACCCAGGAGUACCGUCUGUAUAGAGAAAAGAAAACAGCACCCUGGAUUACACGGAUCCCACAGGAGAUUGUGAAGAAGGGCCAGUUCCCCAUCCCAUCCAUCACCUGGGAACACACAGGGCGGUAUCGCUGUUUCUACGGUAGCCACACUGCAGGCUGGUCAGAGCCCAGUGACCCCCUGGAGCUGGUGGUGACAGGAGCCUACAUCAAACCCACCCUCUCAGCUCUACCCAGCCCUGUGGUGACCUCAGGAGGGAACGUGACCCUCCAUUGUGUCUCACAGGUGGCAUUUGGCAGCUUCAUUCUGUGUAAGGAAGGAGAAGAUGAACACCCACAAUGCCUGAACUCACAGCCCCGUACCCAUGGGUGGUCCCGGGCCAUCUUCUCUGUGGGCCCCGUGAGCCCGAGUCGCAGGUGGUCGUACAGGUGCUAUGCUUAUGACUCGAACUCUCCCCAUGUGUGGUCUCUACCCAGUGAUCUCCUGGAGCUCCUGGUCCUAGGAGGGAGAACGUGACUUCCUCCAGCUCCCUGGCCCACAGCCCCAGGCUGGGCUCUCCCAGGCCAACUUCACCCUGGGCCCUGUGAGCCGCUCCUACGGGGGCCAGUACAGAUGCUCCGGUGCAUACAACCUCUCCUCCGAGUGGUCGGCCCCCAGCGACCCCCUGGACAUCCUGAUCGCAGGACAGUUCCGUGGCAGACCCUUCAUCUCGGUGCAUCCGGGCCCCACGGUGGCCUCAGGAGAGAACGUGACCCUGCUGUGUCAGUCAUGGGGGCCGUUCCACACUUUCCUUCUGACCAAGGCGGGAGCAGCUGAUGCCCCCCUCCGUCUCAGAUCAAUACACGAAUAUCCUAAGUACCAGGCUGAAUUCCCUAUGAGUCCUGUGACCUCAGCCCACUCGGGGACCUACAGGUGCUACGGCUCACUCAGCUCCAACCCCUACCUGCUGUCUCACCCCAGUGACUCCCUGGAGCUCAUGGUCUCAGGAGCAGCUGAGACCCUCAGCCCACCACAAAACAAGUCCGAUUCCAAGGCUGGAGCAGCUAACACCCUCAGCCCAUCACAAAACAAGACUGCCUCACACCCCCAGGAUUACACAGUGGAGAAUCUCAUCCGCAUGGGCAUAGCUGGCUUGGUCCUGGUGGUCCUCGGGAUUCUGCUAUUUGAGGCUCAGCACAGCCAGAGAAGCCUCUGAGAUGCAGCCGGGAGGUGAACAGCAGAGAGAAGAAUGUACCCUUCAGAGUGGUGGAGCCUUGGGAACAGAUCUGAUGAUGCCAGGAGGUUCCGGGAGACAAUUUAGGGCUGAUGCUAUCUGGACUGUCUGCCAAUCAUUUUUAGAGGGAGGAAUCAGUGUUGGAUUGCAGAGACAUUUUCUGGAGUGAUCCAUGAAGGACCAUUAACCUGUGAUACCUUUCCUCUCUAUUAAUGUUGACUUCCCUUGGUUGGAUCCUCU